This is a long non-coding RNA of Oenanthe melanoleuca, 405 nucleotides long. RefSeq lists it as uncharacterized. The transcript has 5 exons. The record is from RefSeq and is a predicted model, not a curated record. Lineage: Eukaryota; Metazoa; Chordata; Aves; Passeriformes; Muscicapidae.
GGACAGGUGACACCUGAGAUACCUGGCUCAGGUGAUAGGACACACCUGGCACAGGUGACAGCAGAGGUGACACAGGUGACGUCACUGGGAGCACAGGUGAGCUGUGCCCGUGGCCUGGGGGGGGCACAGGUGACACAGGUGUGGCUGUAGGUGACACAGGUGACACAGGUGUGGCUGUAGCUCAGUGCAGGUGACACAGGUGUGGUUGUAGGUGACACAGGUGACACAGGUGUGGCUGUAGCUCAGUGUAGAUCACACAGGUGACACAGGUGUGGCUGUAGCUCUGUGUAGGUGACACAGGUGUGGCUGUAGGUGACACAGGUGACCCUGGGGGUGGCACAGGUGACACAGGUGACACUCAGGUGUGUCCCCAGGGCGGCAUGCUGGCCGUCAGGGAGAACAGGU